Molecule: ribosomal RNA, 115 nt
Filed under: Cohaesibacter marisflavi
Lineage: Bacteria; Pseudomonadati; Pseudomonadota; Alphaproteobacteria; Hyphomicrobiales; Cohaesibacteraceae
Source: RNAcentral
CCCGGUGGUUAUGGCGAGGACACCAAACCCGAUCCCAUCCCGAACUCGGCCGUUAAUAUCCUCUGCGCCAAUGGUACUCCGUCUUAAGACGUGGGAGAGUAGGUCGCUGCCGGGC